Molecule: ribosomal RNA, 456 nt
Filed under: uncultured bacterium
Lineage: Bacteria
Description: bacterial SSU rRNA
Rfam family: Bacterial small subunit ribosomal RNA
Source: RNAcentral
UACGGGAGGCAGCAGUGAGGAAUAUUGGUCAAUGGAGGGAACUCUGAACCAGCCAUCCCGCGUGUAGGAAGACGGCCUUAUGGGUUGUAAACUACUUUUAUACAGGAAGAAACGUACCCUCGUGAGGGUGCCUGACGGUACUGUAGGAAUAAGCACCGGCUAACUCCGUGCCAGCAGCCGCGGUAAUACGGAGGGUGCGAGCGUUAUCCGGAUUUAUUGGGUUUAAAGGGUCCGUAGGCGGAUUAAUAAGUCAGUGGUGAAAUCCCAUCGCUUAACGAUGGAACUGCCAUUGAUACUGUUAGUCUUGAAUGAGGGUGCAGUGGUUGGAAUGUGUAGUGUAGCGGUGAAAUGCAUAGAUAUUACACAGAACACCGAUUGCGAAGGCAGAUCACUAACCCUAAAUUGACGCUGAGGGACGAAAGCGUGGGGAGCGAACAGGAUUAGAUACCCUGGUAG